This 497-nucleotide ribosomal RNA is filed under the name uncultured bacterium. RNAcentral describes it as "partial 16S ribosomal RNA". It matches the Rfam family "Bacterial small subunit ribosomal RNA", at positions 28 to 507 of the family's 1533-position model. The record is from RNAcentral.
GAUGAACGCUGGCGGCGUGCCUAAUACAUGCAAGUCGAGCGAACGGACCACUAUCUUGCGUCUCUCAUGUUACCGGCGGACGGGUGAGUAACACGUGGCUAACCCACCUAUAUGACUUGGCUAACUUCGGGAAACCCUAGUAACUACCGGAUACUCUUUUGACCCGCAUGGUUCAAAAGUGUAAGAGCGUCUUGCUGUCAAUUAUCGACGGAUCCGCGCUGCAUUAGCUAGUUGGUAAGGUAACGCCUUACCAAGGCAGCGAUGCAUAACCGACCUGAGCGGGUGAUCGGCGACUGGGGAACUGAGACACGAUCCUGACACCGACGGGAGGCAGCAGUAGGGAAGCUUCCGAGAUGGGGGGAAGCCUGACGGAGGAGCGCCAGGUGGGUGAUGAAGGGCUGCGGAUCGUAAAACGCUGUUAUUGGGGUAGAACGUAUGUGUAAAUGACUGUGCACAGCGUGACGGUACCUAAUCAGAAAGCCACGGCUAACUACGUG